Molecule: ribosomal RNA, 459 nt
Filed under: uncultured bacterium
Lineage: Bacteria
Description: partial 16S ribosomal RNA
Rfam family: Bacterial small subunit ribosomal RNA
Source: RNAcentral
CCUACGGGAGGCAGCAGUGAGGAAUAUUGGUCAAUGGGCGCGAGCCUGAACCAGCCAAGUCGCGUGAGGGAAGAAGGUCCUAUGGAUUGUAAACCUCUUUUGUCGGGGAGAAAAAGACGCCACUCGUGGAGUUCCGAGAGUACCCGAAGAAAAAGCAUCGGGUAACUCCGUGCCAUCAGCCGCGGUAAUACGGAGGAGGCGAGCGUUGUCCGGAUUUAUUGGGUUAAAAGGGAGCGCAGGCGGAAGAUAAAGUCAGCGGUAAAAGGGAGAGGCUCAACCUCUUCGCGCCGUUGAAACUGGGUUACUUGAGUGAAUGAGAGGUAUGCGGAAUGCGUGGUGUAGCGGUGAAAUGCAGAGAUAGCAGGCAGAACUCCGAGUGCGAAGGCAGCAUACCGGAGCUCAACUGACGCUGAUGCACGAAAGUGUGGGGAUCGAACAGGAUUAGAUACCCCGGUAGUC